This 253-nucleotide ribosomal RNA is filed under the name uncultured bacterium. RNAcentral's name for it is "partial 16S ribosomal RNA". It matches the Rfam family "Bacterial small subunit ribosomal RNA", at positions 524 to 776 of the family's 1533-position model. The record is from RNAcentral.
UACGUAGGGUGCAAGCGUUACUCGGAAUUACUGGGCGUAAAGCGUGCGCAGGCGGUUAUGCAAGACAGGUGUGAAAUCCCCGGGCUUAACCUGGGAACCGCAUUUGUGACUGCAUAGCUGGAGUACGGCAGAGGGGGAUGGAAUUCCGCGUGUAGCAGUGAAAUGCGUAGAUAUGCGGAGGAACACCGAUGGCGAAGGCAGUCCCCUGGGCCUGUACUGACGCUCAUGCACGAAAGCGUGGGGAGCAAACAGG